RNAcentral lists this antisense RNA (187 nucleotides) under Anthoceros angustus. RNAcentral describes it as "Anthoceros formosae Antisense RNA which regulates isiA expression". It matches the Rfam family "Antisense RNA which regulates isiA expression". Lineage: Eukaryota; Viridiplantae; Streptophyta; Anthocerotopsida; Anthocerotales; Anthocerotaceae. The record is from Rfam by way of RNAcentral.
AAUACCCAAAAAUAAUACUCGGACUAAGUGUAAGAUUUGUGAUUUCUCUUACAUCUCCACCACCAGGAACCCAGGUAUCGUAUACACCUCCGAAAAAUGAAGCCUUGAAUACCAGGAGAGAAGCACCAAGACCUAGUAAAACAAGAUGAAUACCUAGAAUAGUAGUCAUUUUAUUCUUAUCUUUCCA